UACAGAGGUCUCGAGCGUUGUUCGGAUUCAUUGGGCGUAAAGGGUGCGUAGGUGGUGUGGUAAGUCUGGUGUGAAAUCCCGGGGCUCAACCCCGGAACUGCACUGGAUACUGCCAUGCUUGAGUACUGGAGAGGAGAUUGGAAUUUACGGUGUAGCAGUGAAAUGCGUAGAUAUCGUAAGGAAGACCAGUGGCGAAGGCGAAUCUCUGGACAGUUACUGACACUGAGGCACGAAGGCCAGGGGAGCAAACGGG
Molecule: ribosomal RNA, 253 nt
Filed under: uncultured bacterium
Lineage: Bacteria
Description: partial 16S ribosomal RNA
Rfam family: Bacterial small subunit ribosomal RNA
Source: RNAcentral